RNAcentral lists this ribosomal RNA (496 nucleotides) under uncultured bacterium. Its description in RNAcentral is "partial 16S ribosomal RNA". It matches the Rfam family "Bacterial small subunit ribosomal RNA", at positions 29 to 507 of the family's 1533-position model. The record is from RNAcentral.
AUGCACGCUGGCGGCGUGCCUAAUACAUGCACGUCGAGCGAACAGACGAGGAGCUUGCUCCUUCGACGUUAGCGGCGGACGGGUGAGUAACACGUAGGUAACCUACCUAUAAGACUGGGAUAACUUCGGGAAACCGGAGCUAAUACCGGAUAAUAUUUCGAACCGCAUGGUUCGAUAGUGAAAGAUGGCUUUGCUAUCACUUAUAGAUGGACCUGCGCCGUAUUAGCUAGUUGGUAAGGUAACGGCUUACCAAGGCAACGAUACGUAGCCGACCUGAGAGGGUGAUCGGCCACACUGGAACUGAGACACGGUCCAGACUCCUACGGGAGGCAGCAGUAGGGAAUCUUCCGCAAUGGGCGAAAGCCUGACGGAGCAACGCCGCGUGAGUGAUGAAGGUCUUCGGAUCGUAAAACUCUGUUAUUAGGGAAGAACAAACGUGUAAGUAACUGUGCACGUCUUGACGGUACCUAAUCAGAAAGCCACGGCUAACUACGUG